Molecule: unclassified non-coding RNA, 654 nt
Filed under: Hevea brasiliensis (rubber tree)
Lineage: Eukaryota; Viridiplantae; Streptophyta; Magnoliopsida; Malpighiales; Euphorbiaceae
Source: RNAcentral
AAAAUGCCACCAUGCCAACAACUCCAGCAUAGUAAGGCAACUCCAGCCAUAGCAAAUACAGAAUCACAAAGUAUCAGCAAGGUCAACAUGCCAGGCCCUGGCAACCCAUUGUAGUCCCACGGACCCACCAUUUCAAGCAGAUAAUCUGCUCAAAACAGAAUUCAUGACUACCAUAUAUCUCUGAACCAAAAGCAGCCUAUUAGAAUUCAUCCACAGCCAAAUCAAUGGAAGACUACCGCAUCUCCUUCUUCAACCUUUCAACAUCAAAGGUGACAAGUAAUUGAUGAAGCGUGUUUAUUUUCAAUCUGGGGCCAGACAUGGGAUAAAGAGUUACAAGAUCCAUAUACCAUAACUAUAAUUUUCCUCGGGCACUUCAUUGUCACGGUAGCAAUCACAUUCCUGAUGAACCUCAACAACUGCACAGGUAAUUUUAUCCAACCCUUAUCAUUCCUACUUAUCCAACCUUUUCGUACUGAGUCUUCACCGUAGACUGACCUAAAUAACUACCAAAGUAGAAAAAAAAAAUACAAGAACUCUACCAGGCAUUAAAUAAUGAAAGCAAUUGGAAAUUGAUGACUAACAAAUCUAAACCACCGAUACCAUAUCAAGUUGUGAGAGGCAAUUUGUGCAUAACAAUAAAAAGGUACCAGCCGG